GGACGAACGCUGGCGGCGUGCCUAACACAUGCAAGUCGAGCGAAGUGAGAUUAGAAGAAAUCUUCGGAUGGAAUCUAAACUUAUCUUAGCGGCGGACGGGUGAGUAACGCGUGAGGAACCUGCCUUUCACAAAGGGAUAGCCUCGGGAAACUGGGAUUAAUACCUUAUGAAACUAUAAUAUCGCAUGGUAAGAUAGUUAAAGCGAAAGCGGUGAAAGAUGGACUCGCGUCCCAUUAGUUAGUUGGUGAGGUAAAGGCUCACCAAGGCAGCGAUGGGUAGCCGGCCUGAGAGGGUGAACGGCCACACUGGAACUGAGAGACGGUCCAGACUCCUACGGGAGGCAGCAGUGGGGAAUAUUGCACAAUUGGAGGGAACUCUGAUGCAGCGACGCCGCGUGAACGAAGAAGGCUUUCGGGUCGUAAAGUUCUGUCCUUGGGGACGAUAAUGACGGUACCCAAGGAGGAAGCCCCGGCUAACUACGUGCCAGCCGCCGC
RNAcentral lists this ribosomal RNA (494 nucleotides) under uncultured bacterium. Its description in RNAcentral is "bacterial SSU rRNA". It matches the Rfam family "Bacterial small subunit ribosomal RNA", at positions 27 to 518 of the family's 1533-position model. The record is from RNAcentral.